AUGACCACACAUCGACCUUUACAUUCUUAUUUUUGUAAGUGAUCAAAAAAACCAUUUACAAGAAAAAAUAAAUCUGACAAGUACACAAACCUGAGUGCAGAGGAAAACACCAGUCAGAUUCAGAUCAAUGACCUCCUGCCAUUGGGCUAUCU
Molecule: long non-coding RNA, 152 nt
Organism: Rhodamnia argentea
Lineage: Eukaryota; Viridiplantae; Streptophyta; Magnoliopsida; Myrtales; Myrtaceae
Exons: 4
Source: RefSeq, a predicted model, not a curated record